UCAGAUUGAACGCUGGCGGCAGGCCUAACACAUGCAAGUCGAACGGUAACAGAAAGCAGCUUGCUGCUUUGCUGACGAGUGGCGGACGGGUGAGUAAUGUCUGGGAAACUGCCUGAUGGAGGGGGAUAACUACUGGAAACGGUAGCUAAUACCGCAUAACGUCGCAAGACCAAAGAGGGGGACCUUCGGGCCUCUUGCCAUCGGAUGUGCCCAGAUGGGAUUAGCUUGUUGGUGGGGUAACGGCUCACCAAGGCGACGAUCUCUAGCUGGUCUGAGAGGAUGACCAGCCACACUGGAACUGAGACACGGUCCAGACUCCUACGGGAGGCAGCAGUGGGGAAUAUUGCACAAUGGGCGCAAGCCUGAUGCAGCCAUGCCGCGUGUAUGAAGAAGGCCUUCGGGUUGUAAAGUACUUUCAGCGGGGAGGAAGGGAGUAAAGUUAAUACCUUUGCUCAUUGACGUUACCCGCAGAAGAAGCACCGGCUAACUCCGUGCCAGCAGCCGCGGUAAU
RNAcentral lists this ribosomal RNA (511 nucleotides) under uncultured bacterium. RNAcentral's name for it is "bacterial SSU rRNA". It matches the Rfam family "Bacterial small subunit ribosomal RNA", at positions 24 to 524 of the family's 1533-position model. The record is from RNAcentral.